Molecule: ribosomal RNA, 448 nt
Filed under: uncultured bacterium
Lineage: Bacteria
Description: bacterial SSU rRNA
Rfam family: Bacterial small subunit ribosomal RNA
Source: RNAcentral
GAGCGGUAGAGAGAAGCUUGCUUCUCUUGAGAGCGGCGGACGGGUGAGUAAUGCCUAGGAAUCUGCCUGGUAGUGGGGGAUAACGUUCGGAAACGGACGCUAAUACCGCAUACGUCCUACGGGAGAAAGCAGGGGACCUUCGGGCCUUGCGCUAUCAGAUGAGCCUAGGUCGGAUUAGCUAGUUGGUGGGGUAAUGGCUCACCAAGGCGACGAUCCGUAACUGGUCUGAGAGGAUGAUCAGUCACACUGGAACUGAGACACGGUCCAGACUCCUACGGGAGGCAGCAGUGGGGAAUAUUGGACAAUGGGUGAAAGCCUGAUCCAGCCAUGCCGCGUGUGUGAAGAAGGUCUUCGGAUUGUAAAGCACUUUAAGUUGGGAGGAAGGGUUGUAGAUUAAUACUCUGCAAUUUUGACGUUACCGACAGAAUAAGCACCGGCUAACUCUGUG